RNAcentral lists this long non-coding RNA (418 nucleotides) under Pan troglodytes (chimpanzee). RNAcentral describes it as "long non-coding RNA NONPTRT012138". The record is from RNAcentral. Lineage: Eukaryota; Metazoa; Chordata; Mammalia; Primates; Hominidae.
CAGGAGGCAGUUUCUUCGCUGGACUCAACUCCACAUUCUGUCUCUCCUAUGAGAAGCAUGAAGUGCUCCGAAGGCUGCCAACAAAAUGUCAAGUGAGUCCACUGACAAAAAGGAAGAGAAACCUUGGAAAAACAUUAUUGCUUAUGUUCCAUCUGAAUCUGAGCAGCUGACCUGAGGAAGGAGGUGGCUCAUCCAAGCUGAGACAUGGUGUUUCAAGAGGUGAAACCACAGGGAAAGUUUGAAAUGAAAGUCAUAUGGGAAGAAAUGGAGAGAAGCAAGUUGGAGAUCUUUCUAGAUCACCAUCCCGUAUUGGUACCCAUGCCUCAGUUUAUUUCUGCUGGAGAAGGUGAUGCUAGAAGCUCAGGUUCUCUGUCCUCUCCAUGAUCCUGUGAGCUGUCUAAUAUCCCUCCAUAAAAGC